This 496-nucleotide long non-coding RNA is filed under the name Amphimedon queenslandica. RNAcentral describes it as "uncharacterized LOC109581638, transcript variant X1". The record is from RNAcentral. Lineage: Eukaryota; Metazoa; Porifera; Demospongiae; Haplosclerida; Niphatidae.
AUACCGUAUCUACUCUAAAUCAAUUUAAGGAGUAAAAUAAAAUUGAAAUGAUGUCUACAAGAUCAAAUAAUGUAAGGUGGUUAUCCUCUUGAUGUAUGCACUAGAGACAGUUAGUGGAUAAGAGAAAAGAGAGUGUGUGUGUUCUCAGUCACUUCUCAUUGUUACAAUUCACAGUGUCUACUUAUCUGGUAAUGGGUUGAUAGACCAUUAGUCUUUUAGACAGCUAAGAAGGUGAUUGAGAUCAACCAGUCACCAGUGUACGUCUAUAUACUGGAAGAAACAGUUAUCUUUAAAAAGAGGAUGUCAGUGUGAGCUGCUUCUAAACUGAUAGUCAAUAUGGUGUCAUGAAGGACAUAGACUGCCAAUGUGUAUUAUGUACAAGAUGGUUGGACUAAAGUAUCACAAACUGUUAAUGGUUUACACUAUCGAGAUGAAGAAGAGAAGAAUACAGCAAUAUUAAUUAUUAAUAAUGAGAAUCUGUAAAAUAACUAACAAU